AUGCACAAGCACAAAUUGCAGAUUUGGAAGCAAGGUGAGUACCUCACAGACAUGGCUAACUUGAAGAAGCUAUUAGCUAUGUUUGCUCUCGUGAUGUUCCUGUCACAGUGCCACAUCAGUGGCUUCCUGCAUGGAAAAUCCGGCGACUGCAACAGGGAUCACGGCUCGGUCUGCUGUAAAGACGGUCACCGCUACCCGCAAUUCAGGUGCUCACCCACGGUGUCGGCCGAUACGCCGGCGAUCCUAACUCUAAAUAGCUUCGCACGAGGUGGAGACGGUGGCGACAAAUCGUUCUGCGACAACCGCUUCCACAAGGACACCAAGCUGGUGGUGGCGCUGUCCACGGGGUGGCUGCGCCUGGACGGCAAGCGCAGGUGCAACAAGAUGAUUCGCAUCAACGGGAACGGGCGUGCCGUGCUGGCCAAGGUCGUCGAUGAGUGUGACUCGGUGUACGGCUGCGACGCCGAGCACAACUUCGAGCCACCGUGCCCAUACAACGACGUAGACACGUCACCGGCCGUGUGGAAGGCGCUGGGGCUCAAGGAGGAGAUUCGAGUGUUCAAGAUCACUUGCAGCGUGAACGUUACUACAGAGACCAAACAUCUUCGCGGCAGGUGCCACAUCAGUGGCUUCCUGCAUGGCAUAUCCGGCGACUACAACAGGGAUCACGGCUCGGUCUGCUGUAAAGACGGUCACCGCUACCCGCAAUUCAGGUGCUCGCCCCCGGUGUCGGCCGAUACGCCGGCGAUCCUAACUCUGAACAGCUUCGCACGAGGUGGAGACGGCGGCGGCAAAUCGUUCUGCGACAACCUUUUCCACAAGGACACCGAGCUGGUGGUGGCGCUGUCCAUGGGGUGGCUGCGCCUGGACGGCAAGCGCAGGUGCAACAAGAUGAUCCGCAUCAACGGGAACGGGCGUGCCGUGCUAGCCAAGGUCGUCGAUGAGUGUGACUCGGUGUAA
Molecule: ribosomal RNA, 960 nt
Filed under: Triticum aestivum (bread wheat)
Lineage: Eukaryota; Viridiplantae; Streptophyta; Magnoliopsida; Poales; Poaceae
Description: partial small subunit ribosomal RNA
Source: RNAcentral